CAGUUCGGGGCGGAGCUCCCGAGAGCUUUCCGGCCCGGCUAUUGGUUGGGCAGAGCUGUGACGUCACUACGGGAGGGGGGACAAGGAGCGAGCAGCCAAGAGAGGAGGGAAGAAAGGAAGGCGGAAACGGAGCGCCUUUCCGGUUUCUAGGGGGACUUCAACUCCCAGAAGCCUCUGCCAGCUUGGCGCACGGUUUGGAAUUCUGGGAAACCGAGUCCAAGACGCCUGAGGGAACCAAAGGUGGCGACACGAGGCCUUUUAGUGUCUCGGAAAGCUCGGCUUUGGCGACGCUUGACAAGAAUUUACCUUAUUGUGUGUGUGUUUCGGCGGUAAUAGUAUGAAUUCCAAGCCAUUGACGCCGACGAAGAGGCAAAGCACUGGGAACCAAUACAAAAUACAAGAGCGUAUUCUGGAGAUGGACUAUAUUAUUAUUUGCUGCAGACAUUGCCAGCUGUGGCCAUAUUUACAGAAAGGUGAAUGGAUGCAACUAUAAUAUUGGAAAUGUCAACUAUUAAUUUAUCUCAUUAGUGAUGUUUUGAUAUUUCAGUUUACACAGGAAUAAGUUCCGUGAAACACUUUGGGCAUUAAAAAUAGCACACACUUCUCUUAAAACACUUUAGUAAUUUUAUUAUAAAGGUAAUUAUAAAUACCAAUAAUAGUAUAAAAACAAAUUUGAGAGAAGUGAACACUUUCACCAUGUUUUUAUAAUGCAAUCCUAUAUACAUUUCUAGGCAUCAGUGGAGCCCAAGUCCAGUAAGUGCCUAAGAUUACAGUCCUAGACACACCUGCCUAGACUUAAUUAUCGUUGAUUGAAAACAGGAGGGUAAACUUCUGAAUAAACGGGAUUUUAAAUCUUUCAGGGGUAGAGGUGGGCAACUGCAUUGAGGUAGUUUUAUGGCAGGGACAGUAGAAGUGGAUUCAGAGGCAUUAGACAGACUGGGACCUCUGGAGUGUUAACAAGAUUUGCAGUAUCAUGGGCCUCCAGAUUGAGCCCUAGGAAUAGUUUAUUUGGGGUUAAAUUUAUUUCUCUGUAAAUAUAUACAUAUACAUAGACACAUUCCCUCACACAACCCUUUGAAGAGACAUGGCACCAAACACACUGGAAAUACUUUCUGACUGUCCUACAAAGUAGAUUUAACAGCAGAAAAUAAUUGAAAUUGGAGGUCCUAGAUGAUUGCUUCACAUCCACAGAUCACCGACAGUUGCAUUUAGGAUCCAGCCGCAUGCCCAGCGGGGGGAAGCAUACUAAAUUGACUUCGUUGGACAAGACUAACCAAGCAUUAGUCCUCCGGAUUUCACUCCCGGUUUUAUUGGCCAACGAUCAGGAAUUCUGGGAUCUGAAGUCCAAAACACUGGGAGGACCAGAGUUCAGACAACACUCUCUCAGAGGUUCACAUCUCUGAAGAUGCGAGGGAGGAAAAGAAGAUGCUCGACCAAUCCAUGUCACAUGUUAUGAAGCACCUAAAACUGGAAGUGGAUCUCGAGAAAAGUCGAAAAUCCUUGCGAAAAAGUAGUUGGCGGUAACAUACAAACAUUGGUACCGUGUUACAAAAAUUGCUACUAAUUUAAAUCAUUUAAAUAAAAUAUGUCAUUAGAAUGGGAAGUGAAAGGAAGAGGAAAUCUUGGGGGGCUAAGAGUUGGUCCUGGCAAGGUUUGGGGCCAUUUGUUUCUCUUUAUCCUCACAUUUGGGGAAGGGGUACGCACUACGGGACACGCAAAGAGGGGCCUCUGGGGCGCCAGUGGGUGUGGGGCGGGUGUGUCGGUGGGUGCUGGUGCUGGUGGUGCCAAGAGAGGCAGCUCCCCGGUCCAAACUCUGGACCCAACCACUGAUGGUUCAGCUCUUGCCUGAGCAGCACAUGAUCUAGAAGGGGAAGGGGAGAGAAAGGGGGGAAGAGACACAAGGGCCCAAGGGCCUGUGAGUUUCACCAAGACAUAACAGUAAACCAGUCGAGAUAGUCACCUGGCAUUCCCUGUUUCUGCAGGUCAUGCUGUGGUGGUUUUCUACGUGAGGACUCAUUGGUGGAGGUAAGAGAGAUGCCUGUGACAAAGUACCAAUCAGAAUCCCCGAAUGAGGCUGGCAAUACAUGAUUGGUUGGUUGAAUGAUAUCAACAGGCUGGUAUCUAAAGACAAGAGAGAACACCAUGAGCCAUCACAGCAGAAAACAUAUGGGGGCAUUAGCAAACCCCUCUCCCCCCUGCCGUCCCAACCAGGCUCACCUCCCAGCCCAAGAAACACAGAGGACAGAAUCAUGGCAUUGCUUUCAAAUGACAUUUGGUAAAAGGUUUGGUAAAAAUAACCCAACAACCAUUCCAUCCUGUUUUUCACCCCACCAUGGUAUCUGCAUGUACAUUAAGAGAUAUUUAAUAAACAACAUUUUCCUCCCAGGUUCACUGCCACCCAUGAAGCCAUUCCCCAAACACCCCCAUAGUUCCAAAAGCAACUACAAAUGUAAAUAUGGACCCUCAAAACAUUGUCUCUCUUUGACUUCCACCCUACCCUUCAAAAGGUCCCAGGGGCCUUGCCAAUAGUUACAAAUUACAAAACAAGCACAUCAAAACAUUGUUCCAGGUUAUGUGCAAACGUUUUAAUAGUCUUCAGAGCCAUGAAGUUGAAAAACAAAUUACUCUAAAAGCAUACGGUUGAACAUGUAAGUGGCGAAACGUGAGAUCAAGCUUAAAAGCAAUGCAAGAAGGGCUUUUGCUUAAAUCGGUGUGCUUUCACCCUCCUGUGGCCUUUUUCACUUCCCCAAACUGCAGGCUGCCUGCACCUGGGGCGAUAGUGGUGUGCUCCUUGUAGAAAAAAACCUUUAACAGGUAUGUUGUAAAUACAUCAGAAGCAAUUUGGGGAUCCUCAAUCCACAGUGACAAUUAAGGGCUUCCAAAGAACCCUGAAGGAGAAGUGUGAUUUAUCUAAAGAAUAAAAGAAAUUGCUGUGGAAUAAUUAAAAGCUAUUGCUUAUUGCUUGAGGGCCAUCUUUAAUGUUUUCUUAUGAUUCACAUCUAUUACUUUGGAGGAAAAAGCCCAAAUACUAACAGCCAUAUGCGUACGUGUAUAUAUUUUUUUAUCUAUCUGCCGCUGUAUAGAACAAGCCACAGGUUGUAUCGAUAAAUAAAGGAAGAUAUUUCUAUAUUGUUUCCUGAAAACACACGUUUUUGGAAAUAAAUUCACACACCCCUCUUCUCUGACACUUCCCUCUUAUUUCUUUACCAACACUUUCAGCUCCUAUUCUCUCAGUGUAACACGAAUAGCUGCCAUAGAGCUCAGGCUUUUCCUAGAAAGGAAGCACUCAUUCUGCAAAGCGGUGCGAAGAGGCUCACUAGGAAGGGGGUACACAGGACAUUUUCACAAGCAAUACAGAAAUUAGGAGUUAGCCCUUUUCUUUCUGCUGCAUUGCUUUUUAAACGUCUCUUCUAUGGAAAGAAGAGUUGAAACUUGGUUGUUAUACUAAAGAGACACAGCUCAUACAUUUCUAUUACUAGUAUAGCAUUACCACCUUUGUUUUCAUAACACCUUUUGGCUGUGCUUUUUUCUUCUUCUUCUGAAAAGUGAAUCUGACACAACAAAUCUUUUAUGGCUCAGAGAAAUUUAAUCUCUUAUUAAAAUAAUUUGCGGGAUGAGAUUUGCAUGGGUCCAAGGAAGGCAAAAGACACAUAGCAGGCAAUGUAGGUGUUGUUGGAGUAGAGGCUACUGCUAAGUAAGAAAAAAAUAAUGGUUCAUCCACAAGGCAAAAAUGAUCACGUAUGCUUUGUAUUAAAUACCAAGGGCCAAAGUAGAUGUGAUGGCUGCAGAACUAGUUUACCGACACCCAGGUCAGCAAAGGUAGGCAUUCGUCUAGACCCCCCAAGCCUGGUGACCCCCAGAAAUGCUGAACCACAUGCUGGCUAUGAACGAUGGGAGUUGUAGUCCCCCACAUCUGGAGAAUACCAGGUUGGGGAAGGCAGUCCUAACUCUCCCUUGAACCACUCUCUGCCCCCCAGUUCACUUCUAGAGCUCUGGGAGGAACAAAAGUACGGAGGCAAAGCACUGACAAUGAUAGGGACCAUGUAGCCCCCUCCCCACCUUUUGGUGUUUUUAUGUACAAUAUUUUAUACUAUACCACUUUCCAGGUUUCAGAAAAGAGGCAAAACAAUAUAUUGCGCUUUAUAUGUGACUCUAGUCACAUAUAAGUUUGACUCUAGUGACUGAUGCCAGUGGUGAUGAGAGUGAAGAUGAGGAUGACAGAAUAGUAAUACUUACAAGAAUAAUAUAGAACAUUUAUAUAAAAAAUGUGGGUGGGGUGGGGGAAUCUGCCCUGGCUUAAGCACCUGGAUACUUCUGUCAGUAACAAGAUAAUCCACUUGGGUGUUUUCCCGGGGGAGGAAUGGAGGAGGGAAAGAGCAAUGGAUUUAAAAGUUGGCAGCUGCAAAGUGAUUCAGUAUCUGGUUUCUUUAAAAGACGUGAAGCCACCCUGAUGGAUUUGCAGCUGACUCCAGACUUCAGUAUGACAUUGCAGCGUCAUCUUUAUCAGCAAAGAGAACAAAAAGUGAGUGUCUAGGGGGCACAAAAUAGCAGCAACUGCAGUGGCAAAGCACUUACGCAGAGAGACUGUAACAGGGACGCAAGAUGGCAGGCAGGCCGAACUAGUUUCCAUCUCGUAUUGGCUGCGAUGCGUUGGGGCUGGCACACAAGCAGGUGCGGAGAUGUGCACUGAGUGGGCUAGUGCAGUCAGGGACUGCCUUCCUGUUUGCCUUGAAGGGGAGUAGUCUGUAUUCACAACAAGGAUUCUCCAUUAAAUUAUAGAACUGUCAUGGUGUGUGCAUCAGGGUCCCAGAGAGCUCUGCCUUGUGGCCAUUGGGUGAACACGAAAGGCAAUUCGUAUGUUGAGUGGACAGCAACAAUAAUUAAUUUACACAGCAAUUUAGUGUUUAAAAUAGGAAGUGGGCUAGCAGUAUAGUGGUCUAGCCCAAUAUCAUUUAUUUUAAGUGGGAGCAGUUUUCCAGGUCUCAGGCAGAGAACAUUCCCAUCACUUGUUACCCAACUCCUGAUUCAGAGGAAGAGCCGCAGCUAGAGUGCACGUCUAUCUCAACGAUUUAACAUCUGCAUGGACAAUAGGAACUCUACCACUGAGAUGUGGUCCCUCCCCCAAAUAUGUUGCUCUGAAGUAAUCCUUGUCAUAGCUUUCAGUGUUAUUGUCUUCACGCUGCCAAUGGGCUGAAGGCUUAGAUAUAGAGGCAUGCCUAAGGGAACCUAGUUCAUUCAUGGCAGAGGUGACCUUCUAUGGCUAGUGUAUAUAAAUAUUGGUUCCAUGUAUUUUACUAUGUGUAUUUUAUAGAAAUGUGUUUGUAUGCAUUCAAUAAAAUGUUCGAUAAUGUAUUGUGAUGUGUUUUCUGUGCUGUGCCCUGCCCUGAGCUGUGAGGAGAAAUAAAGUUGUUGUUUGUUGUUA
Molecule: long non-coding RNA, 5422 nt
Organism: Anolis carolinensis (green anole)
Lineage: Eukaryota; Metazoa; Chordata; Lepidosauria; Squamata; Anolidae
Exons: 5
Source: RefSeq, a predicted model, not a curated record